UUGGUAUCUUAGUGGCGGACGAGUGAGUAACGCGUGGGUAACCUGCCUUACACUGGGGGAUAACACUUAGAAAUAGGUGCUAAUACCGCAUAACAGGGAAAGAUGCAUGUCUUUUCCUUAAAAACUCCGGUGGUGUAAGAUGGACCCGCGUCUGAUUAGCUUGUUGGCGGGGUAACGGCCCACCAAGGCGACGAUCAGUAGCCGGCCUGAGAGGGUGAACGGCCACAUUGGGACUGAGACACGGCCCAAACUCCUACGGAAGGCAGCAG
RNAcentral lists this ribosomal RNA (269 nucleotides) under uncultured bacterium. RNAcentral describes it as "partial 16S ribosomal RNA". It matches the Rfam family "Bacterial small subunit ribosomal RNA", at positions 84 to 354 of the family's 1533-position model. The record is from RNAcentral.